GAACUUUGGCCUCAGGAAAAUAAUUUUUCCCUUUACCUUUCUAAUGUAACAUUUGUUCCCCUUUCUACAUCAAUUCAUGGAUCUCUGUUUGAGUCUGUCCAAUGCCACUCUUGUUACCCAUUAAGAGUCAGAUAUCAAGUCUUUUCAUACUACAUCUAAAUCUUCAACUUCCUUCCCCUUACAUUUCAUGCGUUCUUCCAUCCCGGCCCUGUCCUGGACAUUGCUAUCAAGAUCUCAUUGAUGAUUGUUAUCAACACCUCAUCCUGCUUCUGCCACCACCGGCCCCAUCUAACACUGCUCAGUCCACUGCUAGUGGAAGACAGCCAUGGAUCUGGGGAACUCAGGGAAUGAUUCAGUUGUGACCAAGUUUGUCCUGCUGGGCCUCACAGAGACUGCAGCUCUACAGCCCAUCCUCUUUGUCAUCUUCCUUCUUGCUUACGUCACUACCAUUGGAGGCACCCUCAGCAUCCUGGCGGCCAUCCUUAUGGAAACCAAACUCCACAGCCCCAUGUACUUCUUCCUGGGGAACUUGUCCCUGCCAGAUGUGGGGUGUGUCAGUGUCACUGUCCCUGCCAUGCUGAGCCAUUUCAUAUCCAACGACAGAAGCAUUCCCUAUAAGGCCUGCCUCUCCGAGCUCUUCUUCUUCCACCUCCUGGCUGGGGCAGACUGCUUCUUGCUGACCAUCAUGGCCUAUGACCGCUAUCUGGCCAUCUGCCAGUCCCUCACCUACAGCAGCCGCAUGAGCUGGGGAAUCCAGCAAGCCCUGGUGGGCAUGUCAUGUGUCUUUUCCUUCACCAAUGCACUGACCCAAACUGUUGCCCUGUCUCCUCUUAACUUCUGUGGCCCCAAUGUGAUCAAUCACUUCUACUGUGACCUCCCACAGCCCUUCCAGCUCUCCUGCUCCAGUGUUCAUCUCAAUGGGCAGUUGCUGUUUGUAGCAGCAGCUUUCAUGGGUGUGGCCCCCUUGGUCCUCAUCACUGUGUCCUAUGCCCAUGUGGCAGCUGCAGUCCUGCGAAUCCGCUCUGCAGAGGGCAGAAAGAAAGCCUUCUCCACGUGUAGUUCCCACCUCACUGUGGUGGGCAUCUUCUAUGGGACGGGCGUCUUCAGCUACACAAGGCUGGGUUCAGUGGAGUCUUCGGACAAGGACAAGGGCAUUGGCAUCCUCAACACUGUCAUCAGCCCCAUGCUGAACCCACUCAUCUACUGGACAUCUCUGCUGGACGUCGGGUGCAUCAGUCACUGUUCCUCCGAUGCUGGCGUGUCUCCAGGCCCACCAGUGCAGAGUUCCCUAUGCUGCCUGCAGUUCACAGCUCUUCUUUCCCCACCUCCUGGCUGGGGUGGACUGUCACCUCUUAAUAGCCAUGGCCUAUGACCGCUACCUGGCUAUCUGUCAGCUUCUCACCAACAGCACUCGCAUGAGCUGUGAAGUCCAGGGUGCCCUGGUGGGAAUUUGCUGCACUG
Homo sapiens (human) is the source of this 1461-nucleotide long non-coding RNA. Lineage: Eukaryota; Metazoa; Chordata; Mammalia; Primates; Hominidae. The record is from Ensembl.